AUACCUUUCUGGUCCUUCUGGCUAAGAUGAAGUGUAGUAUCAGUUAUUCUAAGUUUAAUAUCUGAUAUGUGGGUCAUGUGCCCACAAUAAUAUUAAAUUUAUUUUUUGUGGGGGUGUCCAUCACACUAGCUUGCUAGUGGGACUCCCUCCAACCAAUACAAAGUAAACAAUUUUAAUCAUAUAAAUAAAACUGCUUUGGCUAACCCAAC
Molecule: small nuclear RNA, 209 nt
Filed under: Triticum dicoccoides
Lineage: Eukaryota; Viridiplantae; Streptophyta; Magnoliopsida; Poales; Poaceae
Description: snRNA U2
Rfam family: U2 spliceosomal RNA
About the family: U2 is a small nuclear RNA (snRNA) component of the spliceosome (involved in pre-mRNA splicing). Complementary binding between U2 snRNA (in an area lying towards the 5' end but 3' to hairpin I) and the branchpoint sequence (BPS) of the intron results the bulging out of an unpaired adenosine, on the BPS, which initiates a nucleophilic attack at the intronic 5' splice site, thus starting the first of two transesterification reactions that mediate splicing.
Source: RNAcentral